This 73-nucleotide transfer RNA is filed under the name Cavia porcellus (domestic guinea pig). It matches the Rfam family "tRNA". Rfam says of the family: Transfer RNA (tRNA) molecules are approximately 80 nucleotides in length. Their secondary structure includes four short double-helical elements and three loops (D, anti-codon, and T loops). Lineage: Eukaryota; Metazoa; Chordata; Mammalia; Rodentia; Caviidae. The record is from Rfam by way of RNAcentral.
AAGGAUUUAGCUCAGGGGCAUAAGUGCCUGCUUGGCAAGCAGGAGGUUGUGAGUUUGAUCCCCUCAAUCCUUG